UUGACGAUGGAUCACCAGUGAGUGGCGGACGGGUGAGUAACACGUAGGCAACCUGCCCCGGAGCGGGGGAUAACAUUUGGAAACAGAUGCUAAUACCGCAUAACAACAAAAGUCACAUGGCCUUUUGUUUGAAAGAUGGCUUUGGCUAUCACUCUGGGAUGGACCUGCGGUGCAUUAGCUAGUUGGUAAGGUAACGGCUUACCAAGGCGAUGAUGCAUAGCCGAGUUGAGAGACUGAUCGGCCACAAUGGAACUGAGACACGGUCCAUACUCCUACGGGAGGCAGCAGUAGGGAAUCUUCCACAAUGGGCGCAAGCCUGAUGGAGCAACACCGCGUGAGUGAAGAAGGGUUUCGGCUCGUAAAGCUCUGUUGUUGGAGAAGAACGUGCGUGAGAGUAACUGUUCACGCAGUGACGGUAUCCAACCAGAAAGUCACGGCUAACUACGUGCCAGCAGCCGCGGUAAUACGUAGGUGGCAAGCGUUAUCCGGAUUUAUUGGGCGUAAAGCGAGCGCAGGCGGUUGCUUAGGUCUGAUGUGAAAGCCUUCGGCUUAACCGAAGAAGUGCAUCGGAAACCGGGCGACUUGAGUGCAGAAGAGGACAGUGGAACUCCAUGUGUAGCGGUGGAAUGCGUAAGAUAUAUGGAAGAACACCAGUGGCGAAGGCGGCUGUCUGGUCUGCAACUGACGCUGAAGCUCGAAAGCAUGGGGUAGCGAACAGGAUUAGAUACCCUGGUAGUUCCAUGCCGU
RNAcentral lists this ribosomal RNA (747 nucleotides) under uncultured bacterium. RNAcentral describes it as "bacterial SSU rRNA". It matches the Rfam family "Bacterial small subunit ribosomal RNA", at positions 74 to 803 of the family's 1533-position model. The record is from RNAcentral.